UGGGGAAUAUUGGACAAUGGGCGCAAGCCUGAUCCAGCAAUGCCGCGUGGGUGAAGAAGGUCUUCGGAUUGUAAAGCCCUUUCGACAGGGACGAUGAUGACGGUACCUGUAGAAGAAGCCCCGGCUAACUUCGUGCCAGCAGCCGCGGUAAUACGAAGGGGGCUAGCGUUGCUCGGAAUUACUGGGCGUAAAGGGCGCGUAGGCGGCUUGCUUAGUCAGACGUGAAAAUCCUGGGCUUAACCUGGGACUGCGUUUGAUACGGGCAGGCUUGAGGAUGGAAGAGGCUCGUGGAAUUCCCAGUGUAGAGGUGAAAUUCGUAGAUAUUGGGAAGAACACCGGUGGCGAAGGCGGCGAGCUGGUCCAUUACUGACGCUGAGGCGCGACAGCGUGGGGAGCAAACAGGAUUAGAUACCCUGGGUAGUCCACGCCGUAAACGAUGUGCGCUGGAUGUUGGGUGGCCUAGCCACUCAGUGUCGUAGCCAACGCGAUAAGCGCACCGCCAUGGGGGGU
RNAcentral lists this ribosomal RNA (510 nucleotides) under uncultured bacterium. Its description in RNAcentral is "partial 16S ribosomal RNA". It matches the Rfam family "Bacterial small subunit ribosomal RNA", at positions 355 to 873 of the family's 1533-position model. The record is from RNAcentral.